Molecule: ribosomal RNA, 432 nt
Filed under: uncultured bacterium
Lineage: Bacteria
Description: partial 16S ribosomal RNA
Rfam family: Bacterial small subunit ribosomal RNA
Source: RNAcentral
ACGAACGCUGGCGGCAUGCCUAACACAUGCAAGUCGAACGAGACCUUCGGGUCUAGUGGCGCACGGGUGCGUGACGCGUGGGAACCUGCCCUUAGGUUCGGAAUAACUCAGAGAAAUUUGAGCUAAUACCGGAUAAUGUCUUCGGACCAAAGAUUUAUCGCCUUUGGAUGGGCCCGCGUAGGAUUAGCUUGUUGGUGGGGUAAUGGCCUACCAAGGCGACGAUCCUUAGCUGGUCUGAGAGGAUGAUCAGCCACACUGGGACUGAGACACGGCCCAGACUCCUACGGGAGGCAGCAGUGGGGAAUAUUGGACAAGGGGCGAAAGCCUGAUCCAGCAAUGCCGCGUGAGUGAUGAAGGCCUUAGGGUUGUAAAGCUCUUUUACCAGGGAUGAUAAUGACAGUACCUGGAGAAUAAGCUCCGGCUAACUCCGUG